Molecule: non-coding RNA, 301 nt
Organism: Pelobates cultripes (western spadefoot toad)
Lineage: Eukaryota; Metazoa; Chordata; Amphibia; Anura; Pelobatidae
Source: the annotation of a GenBank genome assembly
GGCCUCCUGAACACCCUCUGUACAUUCUGGCAUUGCUCCUGAUGAGGAACGUUGCUGCUCUGUCUUCUUUUAUGACAUGCACUGUGUUCACGUCACAAACAGCGCUAGCGUGAUUGUAUCAUCGGUGCGAUGCUAUGCAUGCACGUACCGGUGCCACACAUAUGAUAAUGGGAGGGUCCAUGUGCCUAUUUAUGCACCUCAUGUUGAUCUAAUCCUUGCCCUGUCAUGGUUUACAUUGUGGUUAAAUCAGAGAGCACAUUUAUCUCUUGUCUUGAUCCAUGGCUGCUGACUCUCGACUUAC